Erythranthe guttata (spotted monkey flower) is the source of this 252-nucleotide non-coding RNA. NCBI's taxonomy places the organism in Eukaryota, Viridiplantae, Streptophyta, Magnoliopsida, Lamiales, Phrymaceae. The record is from RefSeq and is a predicted model, not a curated record.
UUUCUGAAAUCAAAGUUCUGAUCCAUUUCAUGCAAUAUUUCGUAUUAAUUGUUUUUUAAGCUUCUUCAAUUAUUAUAUGAGGUAGAACAAAUGAAUUACAAUUUCCGUCCUAACUAAUAAUUCUCAGGCAAUGCAUCACAUUAAACACAUGGACUGGACGAGGUUGGACUGUUUGAUGAAGUGAAAGAACGUUAUCGUGGAAGUCAUAUUUGUUGUCGCUUAACAAUUUAUAAGGUGGAAUUUAUUAUGAAA